GGUCACAUUGUGUUGAAACAACAGUUCCUGUAUGAUCACUGAAGUUAAGAAACAUCGGGCCUGGUCAGUACCUAGAUGGGUGACCAUUUGGGAAUACCAGGUUCUGUAAG
Molecule: non-coding RNA, 110 nt
Organism: Acanthosepion pharaonis
Lineage: Eukaryota; Metazoa; Mollusca; Cephalopoda; Sepiida; Sepiidae
Source: the annotation of a GenBank genome assembly